AGAGUUUGAUCCUGGCUCAGGAUGAACGCUGGCGGCGUGCCUUAUGCAUGCAAGUCGAACGGUACUUUGGCUUUCGGGCUAAAGGAGAGUGGCGGACGGGUGAGUAACACGUAAGUAACCUACCCUUAAGUGGAGAAUAACCCCGGGAAACCGGGGCUAAUACUGCAUGUGGUGGCAGGAUAUAUGUCCUGUCUCUAAAGCCUUCGGGCGCUUAAGGAGGGGCUUGCGUCCAAUUAGCUAGUUGGUAGGGUAACGGCUUACCAAGGCAGUGAUCGGUAGCUGGUUUGAGAGGACGGUCAGCCACACUGGGACUGAGAUACGGCCCAGACUCCUACGGGAGGCAGCAGCAAGGAAUUUUGUGCAAUGGGCGAAAGCCUGACACAGCGACGUCGCAUGGGGGAUGAAGGCCUUCGGGUCGUAAACCCCUUUUCUCAGGGAAGAAUAAUGACGGUACCUGAGGAAUAAGUCUCGGCUAACUACGUGCCAGCAGCCGCGGUAAUACGUAGGAGGCAAGCGUUAUCCGGAUUUAUUGGGCGUAAAGAGGGCGUAGGCGGCUUUUCAAGUCGGAUGUAAAAUCUCCCGGCUCAACUGGGAGGGAUCAUGCGAUACUGUUGAGCUAGAGGGCGGCAGAGGGAGGUGGAAUUCCCGGUGUAGUGGUGAUAUGCGUAGAUAUCGGGAGGAACACCAGUGGCGAAGGCGGCCUCCUGGGCUGUAUCUGACGCUGAGGCCCGAAAGCGUGGGGAGCGAACAGGAUUAGAUACCCUGGUAGUCCACGCUGUAAACUAUGGAUACUAGGUAUGGGGAGUAUCGACCCUCUCCGUGCCGAAGCUAACGCGUUAAGUAUCCCGCCUGGGGAGUACGGCCGCAAGGCUAAAACUCAAAGGAAUUGACGGGGGCCCGCGCAAGCAGCGGAGCGUGUGGUUUAAUUCGAUGCAACGCGAAAAACCUUACCAAGGCUUGACAUGCUGGAAGUAGGAACCUGAAAGGGGGACGACCUGUAAAGUCAGAAGUCAGCACAGGUGCUGCAUGGCUGUCGUCAGCUCGUGCCGUGAGGUGUUGGGUUAAGUCCCGCAACGAGCGCAACCCUCGUUGCUAGUUAUAUUCUCUAGCGAUACUGCCCCGCAAGACGGGGAGGAAGGUGGGGAUGACGUCAAGUCAGCAUGGCCCUUAUGCCUUGGGCUACACACACGCUACAAUGGGUGGUAUAAAAGGUAGCAAUGGAGCGAUCCGGAGCCAAUCCCCAAAACCAUCCUCAGUUCGGAUUGCAGGCUGAAAUUCGCCUGCAUGAAGUUGGAGUUGCUAGUGACCGCAGGUCAGCAUACUGCGGUGAAUACGUUCUCGGGCCUUGUACACACCGCCCGUCACGUCACGAAAGUCGGCAACACCUGAAGUCGGUGGGCUAACCCUGGUUUACCAGGGAGGCAGCCGCCUAGGGUGGGGCUGAUGAUUGGGACGAAGUCGUAACAAGGUA
RNAcentral lists this ribosomal RNA (1471 nucleotides) under metagenome. Its description in RNAcentral is "bacterial SSU rRNA". It matches the Rfam family "Bacterial small subunit ribosomal RNA". The record is from RNAcentral.